AGUCUGGUGCCAGCAGCCGCGGUAAUUCCAGCUCCAAUAGCGAAUAUUAAAUUUGUUGCAGUUAAAAAGCUCGUAGUUGGAUCCAAGGUUAGGCAUGCCUGUCUGUUCUUAGUAGCAUGACUGUGUGUGUCUGCCUUUAUUAGUUGAAUGUUCAUUAUGGUGGUCUUCAUCGACUGCUAUGAUGUGCUCAACACGUUUACCUUGAAAAAAUCAGAGCGAUCAAGGCAGGCCUUCGUGCUUGUAUGUUGUUGCAAGGAAUAAUAGAAUAGGACUUCGGUUCUAUUUUGUUGGUUUUGAGAAUUGAAGUAAUGAACAAUAGAGACAGUCGGGGGCAUUUGUAUGGUGGCGUUAGAGGUGAAAUUCUGAGAUAGUCGCCAGACAAACUACUGCGAAAGCAUUUGCCAAGGAUGUCUUCAUUAAUCAAGAACGAAAGUCAGAGGUUCGAAGACGAUCAGAUACCGUCCUAGUUCUGACCAUAAACGAUGCCGACCUACAAUCGGGGGUGGUUUAUUAUAUUGACCCUCCCGGCUGUCCUCAGGAAACUUUAAGUUGGUUCUGGGGGGAAUAUGGUCUCAAGACUGAAACUUAAAGGAAUUGACGGAAGGGCACCACCAGGAGUGGAGCCUGCGGCUUAAUUUGACCCAACACGGGGAAUCUCACCCGGUCCGGACACUGGUAGGAUGACAGAUUGAUAGCUCUUUCUUGAUUCAGUGGGUGGUGGUGCAUGGCCGUUCUUAGUUGGUGGAGUGAUUUGUCUGGUUAAUUCCGAUAACGAACGAGACUCUGUCCUGCUAAAUAGUCCAGUGGCAUCAAUCACUAUGUGAUUACAGCUGCUGUUACUUCUUAGAGGGAUUCGCGGAUUUAAACCGCAAGAAAUAGAGCAAUAACAGGUCUGUGAUGCCCUUAGAUGUCCGGGGCCGCACGCGCGCUACAUUGACAGUAGAAGCGAGUAUUUCUACCUGGUUCGAAGGAAUUGGGAAAUCUUCGAAUUACUGUCUCCACAGGGAUUGAGGCUUGCAAUUUUGCCUCAUGAACGAGGAAUUCCCAGUAGGCGCAAGUCAUCAGCUUGCGUCGAUUACGUCCCUGCCCUUUGUACACACCGCCCGUCGCUACUACCGAUUGAGUGCAUUAGUGAGGACCUCGGAUUGAGAACAUAGUGGCGCAAGUUACUUUGUUUUUGAAAAGUGGUUCAAAUUUGUGCAUUUAGAGAUAGUAAAAGUCGU
RNAcentral lists this ribosomal RNA (1223 nucleotides) under metagenome. Its description in RNAcentral is "SSU rRNA". It matches the Rfam family "Eukaryotic small subunit ribosomal RNA", at positions 558 to 1792 of the family's 1831-position model. The record is from RNAcentral.